AGGUGGGAAAACUGGAAAGAUUGAAUGUCCUUUGGAGUUCACAGAGGUUUGGCAGUGGGAGGAGAAAAACAAAACGAAGCAUAGUGGGAGUGUUGAACAGACUUUCCCAAGAUCCCCAGAUCCUGAAAUUCAAGAAAAUCUUUGUCAAAGUGUUAGCUGAGUGCAAGCUAAGGUAUCCAAAUAGUGAAUACACACACCAAGGAAUAAUCUUUGCAAAAAUACUUUGUCUCAAGGCAAAUAGAACACAAUAGACUUUAAUAAUCAAAACAGAAACACCAACAUAGAGAACCUAAGGAAUGAAGAGAAUCUGAUUUCCAAAGUCACCACGUUAUAAAAAUCAAAUGCCAAUCUUCAACAACAACAAAACAACAAAAUUCACAAGGCACACAAAGAAACAGGAAAAUGGCUCAUUCAAAGGAAUAAAAUGAUUAAUUGGCAUAAACUGUUCCUGAGAAAGCCCAGAUACUAAAGUUACUUGACAUUUGCUCAACUGGAUAAGAGUGAGUUUCGACAAAGAAGUAAAGGCAAUUUGGAACAUAAUAUUUUCUCUAAAGGAGAAUAUCAUCAAACAAAGAAAUUAUAAAAAAGAACCACACAGAAAUUCUGGAGCAGAAAAGUACAGCAACUGAAGUUUUUAAAAUUACUUGCAGAGAUCAACAAUGGAUUUGCAGAAGAUUAGUGAACCCAAAGAUAGGAAAAUUGAAAUUAUUGAGUCUGAGGAGCAGAAGAGAAAAAGGAAUGAACAAAAGUGAAUAGAACCUAAGGAAACUGAGGGACACCAUCAAGCAGAUCAAGGAGAAGAGAGAGGUAAAAAAGAGUAGUGAGAUAAAUAAUAGCCAAAUACCUUCCAAAUAUGAAGAAAGACAUGAAUAUACAGAUAAAAUAAGCCCAACAAAUACCAAAUUGGAUAAACCCAAAAACAUCUACACCAAAGCACAUUAUAAUGAAACUGUUGAAAGCCAAACAAUGACAGAAUCUUAAAAGCAACAACAGCAAGGCAAUUCAACAAAAUAAAAGGGAUGUUCAAUACAAGUAUCAGCCAAUUUCUCAUCAGAAGCCUGGAGGCAAGAAGGCAGAGAAAUAAUAUAUUUCAAGUGCUGAAAAAAGCCAGGCACAGUGACUCACGCCUAUAAUCCAUGCACUUUGGGAGUAUGAGAUGGGUGAAUCACUUGAGGUCAGGAGUUUCAGACCAGCCUGGCGACCAUGGCGAAACCCGGUCUCUACUAAAAAUACAAAAAUUAGUCGGGUGCAGUGGCGCACACCUGUAGUCCCAGCUACUUAGGAGGCUGAGGCAGGAGAAUUGCUUGAAUCUGGGAGGCAGAGGUUGCAGUUAGCUGAGAUCAUACCACUGCACUCCAGCCUGGGCAACAGAGUGAGACUCC
This 1382-nucleotide long non-coding RNA is filed under the name Pongo abelii (Sumatran orangutan). Its description in RNAcentral is "lincRNA". The record is from RNAcentral. Lineage: Eukaryota; Metazoa; Chordata; Mammalia; Primates; Hominidae.